Molecule: ribosomal RNA, 468 nt
Filed under: uncultured bacterium
Lineage: Bacteria
Description: partial 16S ribosomal RNA
Rfam family: Bacterial small subunit ribosomal RNA
Source: RNAcentral
GACGAACGCUGGCGGCGUGCUUAACACAUGCAAGUCGAACGGAAAGGCCCUGCUUUUGUGGGGUGCUCGAGUGGCGAACGGGUGAGUAACACGUGAGUAACCUGCCCUUGACUUUGGGAUAACUUCAGGAAACUGGGGCUAAUACCGGAUAGGAGCUCCUGCUGCAUGGUGGGGGUUGGAAAGUUUCGGCGGUUGGGGAUGGACUCGCGGCUUAUCAGCUUGUUGGUGGGGUAGUGGCUUACCAAGGGUUUGACGGGUAGCCGGCCUGAGAGGGUGGCCGGCCACAUUGCGACUGAGGUACGGACCAGACUCGUACGGGGGGCAGCAGUGGGGAAUAUUGCACAGUGGGCGGAAGCCUGAUGCAGAAACGCCGCGUGCGGGAUGACGGCCUUCGGGUUGUAAACCGCUUUCGCCUGUGACGAAGCGUGAGUGACGGUAAUGGGUAAAGAAGCACCGGCUAACUACGUG